UGAAGCAGGACAGAUGGCCGCUCUCCGCUUGCGGAGGGAGGAAAGUCCGGGCUCCAGAGGGCGUGGUGCUGGAUAACGUCCAGCGGGGGUGACCCCAGGGAUAGUGCCACAGAGAGAAGUCCGCCCGUCUCGGCGGGUAAGGGUGAAAGGGUGAGGUAAGAGCUCACCGGGUCCGGCGGUGACGUCGGAUGCCAGGUAAACCCCACCAGGAGCAAGGCCGAAUAGGGAAGCGUCAAGGGUGGCCCGCCCAUGCUUCCGGGUUGGCUGCUUGAGGCCGUCGGUAACGGCGGUCCCAGAGGAAUGGUCAUCGUCCGUCCCGGGGUAACCCGCGGCGGGAACAGAACCCGGCUUACGGACUGCUUCAGCCA
Geobacter pickeringii is the source of this 368-nucleotide non-coding RNA. NCBI's taxonomy places the organism in Bacteria, Pseudomonadati, Thermodesulfobacteriota, Desulfuromonadia, Geobacterales, Geobacteraceae. The record is from Rfam.